GAUGAACGCUGGCGGCGUGCCUAAUACAUGCAAGUCGAGCGAACAGAUAAGGAGCUUGCUCCUUUGACGUUAGCGGCGGACGGGUGAGUAACACGUGGGUAACCUACCUAUAAGACUGGAAUAACUCCGGGAAACCGGGGCUAAUGCCGGAUAACAUUUAGAACCGCAUGGUUCUAAAGUGAAAGAUGGUUUUGCUAUCACUUAUAGAUGGACCCGCGCCGUAUUAGCUAGUUGGUAAGGUAACGGCUUACCAAGGCAACGAUACGUAGCCGACCUGAGAGGGUGAUCGGCCACACUGGAACUGAGACACGGUCCAGACUCCUACGGGAGGCAGCAGUAGGGAAUCUUCCGCAAUGGGCGAAAGCCUGACGGAGCAACGCCGCGUGAGUGAUGAAGGUCUUCGGAUCGUAAAACUCUGUUAUUAGGGAAGAACAAAUGUGUAAGGAACUGUGCACGUCUUGACGGUACCUAAUCAGAAAGCCACGGCUAACUACGUG
This 497-nucleotide ribosomal RNA is filed under the name uncultured bacterium. RNAcentral's name for it is "partial 16S ribosomal RNA". It matches the Rfam family "Bacterial small subunit ribosomal RNA", at positions 28 to 507 of the family's 1533-position model. The record is from RNAcentral.